Molecule: ribosomal RNA, 222 nt
Filed under: uncultured bacterium
Lineage: Bacteria
Description: partial 16S ribosomal RNA
Rfam family: Bacterial small subunit ribosomal RNA
Source: RNAcentral
AUCAGUAGCCGGCCUGAGAGGGUGAACGGCCACACUGGGACUGAGACACGGCCNAGACUCCUACGGGAGGCAGCAGUGGGGAAUCUUCCGCAAUGGACGAAAGUCUGACGGAGCAACGCCGCGUGUAUGAUGAAGGUCUUCGGAUUGUAAAGUACUGUCUUUGGGGAAGAACGGUGAGGUUGAAAAUAUUGAUUUCACAUGACGGUACCCAAGGAGGAAGCC